This 73-nucleotide transfer RNA is filed under the name Phenacogrammus interruptus (Congo tetra). RNAcentral's name for it is "tRNA-Ile". It matches the Rfam family "tRNA". From Rfam's summary of the family: Transfer RNA (tRNA) molecules are approximately 80 nucleotides in length. Their secondary structure includes four short double-helical elements and three loops (D, anti-codon, and T loops). Lineage: Eukaryota; Metazoa; Chordata; Actinopteri; Characiformes; Alestidae. The record is from RNAcentral.
GGAGCUGUGCCCGAAUGCCCAGGGACCACUUUGAUAGAGUGACUAAUAGAGGUUAAAAUCCUCUCAGCCCCUA